GAUGAAGAACGUAGCGAAAUGCGAUACGUAGUGUGAAUUGCAGAAUUCCGUGAACCAUCGAAUCUUUGAACGCAUAUUGCGCUCGAGGCUUCGGCCAAGAGCAUGUCUGCCUCAGCGUCGGGUUAAUAUCACCAAUCUUUAUACUUUAUCGUAUAUUGUGCUGGUGGAUCUGGCUGUUCCAGCUAGUGCCGCGGCUUUCAAUAGCUGCCUAGUGUGCAUCUGGAUCAGCUGAAGUACAGAGGCUAACCAAGGACCCAUCAAGGGCCGCAACUGGGUGGGCAGAAAUGCUAAAUUCUUAGUUGUUGGCUUGGGACUUUGAUUGUUCGGCCCUCAAACAGGAACUUUUAACCUAUUUUCUCGACCUGAGCUCAGGCAAGAACACCCGCUGAACUUAAGCAUAUCAAUAAGCGGGAGGA
This 416-nucleotide unclassified non-coding RNA is filed under the name soil metagenome. RNAcentral's name for it is "partial contains 5.8S ribosomal RNA, internal transcribed spacer 2, and large subunit ribosomal RNA". The stretch from base 1 to 120 matches the Rfam family "5.8S ribosomal RNA", at positions 35 to 154 of the family's 154-position model. The record is from RNAcentral.